UAAGCGGAGGAAAAGAAACUAACAAGGAUUCCCCUAGUAACUGCGAGUGAAGCGGGAAAAGCUCAAAUUUAAAAUCUGGCGGUCUUUGGCCGUCCGAGUUGUAAUUUAGAGAAGCGUCUUCCGCGCCGGACCGUGCGCAAGUCUCCUGGAAUGGAGCGUCAUAGAGGGUGAGAAUCCCGUCUUUGGCACGGAUGCCUGGUGCUUCUGUGAUGCGCUCUCGAAGAGUCGAGUUGUUUGGGAAUGCAGCUCAAAAUGGGUGGUGAACUCCAUCUAAAGCUAAAUAUUGGCGAGAGACCGAUAGCGAACAAGUACCGUGAGGGAAAGAUGAAAAGCACUUUGGAAAGAGAGUGAAACAGUACGUGAAAUUGUUGAAAGGGAAACGCUUGAAGUCAGUCGCGUCGACCGAGACUCAGCCUUGCCUCGGCUUGGUGUACUUCUCGGCCCGACGGGUCAGCGUCAAUUUUGCCCCUCGGAUAAUGGCAAGGGAAAGGUGGCACCUUUACGGGUGUGUUAUAGUCUCCUGUCGCAUGCGAGGGGUGGGAUUGAGGAACUCAGCGCGCACCUUGGUGUCGGGGCUUCGGCCCACGUCACGCGCUUAGGAUGCUGGCGUAAUGGCUUUAAACGACC
RNAcentral lists this ribosomal RNA (627 nucleotides) under uncultured Russulaceae. RNAcentral's name for it is "LSU rRNA". It matches the Rfam family "Eukaryotic large subunit ribosomal RNA", at positions 47 to 649 of the family's 3401-position model. The record is from RNAcentral. Lineage: Eukaryota; Fungi; Basidiomycota; Agaricomycetes; Russulales; Russulaceae.